RNAcentral lists this ribosomal RNA (311 nucleotides) under uncultured Methanosaeta sp. RNAcentral's name for it is "bacterial SSU rRNA". It matches the Rfam family "Archaeal small subunit ribosomal RNA", at positions 1028 to 1338 of the family's 1478-position model. The record is from RNAcentral. Lineage: Archaea; Methanobacteriati; Methanobacteriota; Methanomicrobia; Methanotrichales; Methanotrichaceae.
GUUAAGUCAGGCAACGAGCGAGACCCACGCCCACAGUUGCCAGCGUACUCUCCGGAGUGACGGGUACACUGGUGGGGACCGCCGCUGCUAAAGCGGAGGAAGGAAUGGGCAACGGUAGGUCAGUAUGCCCCGAAUAUCCCGGGCUACACGCGAGCUACAAUGGUUGGUACAAUGGGUAUCUACCCCGAAAGGGGACGGGAAUCUCCUAAACCAAUCUUAGUUCGGAUUGAGGGCUGCAACUCGCCCUCAUGAAGCUGGAAUCCGUAGUAAUCGCGUUUCAACAGAACGCGGUGAAUACGUCCCUGCUCCUU